GUUUGAUCCUGGCUCAGGAUGAACGCUUUCUUUAUGCCUAAUACAUGCAAGUCAAACGAACUAACUUGUUAGUUAGUGGCGAACGGGUGAGUAACACGUAAGUAACAUGUCCAUACGACGAGGAUAACGGCUGGAAACGGCUGCUAAGACUGGAUAGGAAUAUAAAAGGCAUCUUUAAUAUUUUAAAGGACCUUGAUGGUACGCGUAUGGGGUGACUUGCGGCGCAUUAGCUAGUUGGUGGGGUAGAAGCCUACCAAGGCGAUGAUGCGUAGCCGGACUGAGAGGUUGAACGGCCACAUUGGGACUGAGACACGGCCCAGACUCCUACGGGAGGCAGCAGUAGGGAAUUUUCGGCAAUGGGGGGAACCCUGACCGAGCAAUGCCGCGUGAAUGAAGAAAUACUUAGGUAUGUAAAGUUCUUUUAUUGGGGAAGAAUGUCUUGUGGAAGAACAAGAGUGACGGUACCCAUUGAAUAAGCCCCGGCUAACUAUGUGCCAGCAGCCGCGGUAAUACAUAGGGGGCAAGCGUUAUCCGGAAUUAUUGGGCAUAAAGGGUGCGUAGGCGGCAUGUUAAGUUUAAGGUAUAAGCUCAUGGCUCAACCAUGGGAGGCUUUAGAAACUGGCAUGCUAGAGUGCAGUAGAGGCAAGUGGAAUUCCAUGUGUAGCGGUAAAAUGCGUAAAUAUAUGGAGGAACACCAGUGGCGAAGGCGGCUUGCUGGGCUGUAACUGACGCUGAGGCACGAAAGCGUGGGGAGCAAACAAAAUUAGAUACCCUGGUAGUCCUAACCAUAAACGGUGGUCCACUUGGUGUGGCGAGGAAUUGUCCCCUUGCGCGCCCGAGCUAACGCGUUAAGUGUACCCGCCGGGGGAGUACGGUCGCAAGAUUAAAACUCAAAGGAAUGGCCGGGGACCCGCACAAACGGUGGAGCAUGUGGCUUAAUUCGAUGCAACGCGAAGAACCUUACCUGGACUUGACAUGCAAGUAGUAGAACCCUGAAAGGGGGACGAUCCCGCGCAAGCGGGAAGCUUGCACAGGUGCUGCAUGGCUGUCGUCAGCUCGUGCCGUGAGGUGUUGGGUUAAGUCCCGCAACGAGCGCAACCCUUGUGAUUAGUUGCCAUUAUUAAGUUAGGCACUCUAGUCAGACUGCCUGUGAUAAGCAGGAGGAAGGUGGGGAUGACGUCAAGUCAGUAUGGUCCUUAUGUCCAGGGCUGCACACGUGCUACAAUGGCCGGUACAGAAGGAAGCAAUACCGCGAGGUGGAGCUAAUCCCCAAAACCGGCCUCAGUUCGGAUUGGAGUCUGCAACCCGACUCCAUGAAGCUGGAAUCGCUAGUAACGGCGCAUCAGCUACGGCGCCGUGAAUACGUUCCCGGGUCUUGCACACACCGCCCGUCA
Molecule: ribosomal RNA, 1394 nt
Filed under: uncultured bacterium
Lineage: Bacteria
Description: bacterial SSU rRNA
Rfam family: Bacterial small subunit ribosomal RNA
Source: RNAcentral